CUAGCAGCUCAUGUUCCUGCACGGCAUCCACCCCGCGUGUCUCGCUGCAGAGCAUAGAGGGCAGGACACAUUGGAGCCGCACUGCUGCGAGGUGGCUGUGGUGGAGAGGAUUGUGCACCAUGACACCUUGAGCCAGAGCUAGAGACCCACCUCCUUCGAACUGCCCUGCAUGCCGUCUUCACCCUAGGCACCCAGAAGGACACCACUCAGCCAGGAUCUGCAUAGGGUCUUGCCAGACCUCCUGGAUGCCAUGCUGGGGAACCAGCUGGCAGAGUCCCAAGACACCGACAGGCUCCACUUCAUCUUGGAGAACUCAGCAGAAUUCCCCAGGAUGGGUCACCAUGUGGCACAGCUGGCUCUGUUGAUCGGUGACCCAGCCAAGCACAUCAGCCGGCAGGCCAGGGAGGGGGUUUAUCGGCUCUACCAGCUGCUGCUGCACCAGA
This is a long non-coding RNA of Trachemys scripta elegans, 443 nucleotides long. RefSeq lists it as uncharacterized. The record is from RefSeq and is a predicted model, not a curated record. Lineage: Eukaryota; Metazoa; Chordata; Testudines; Emydidae. The transcript has 4 exons.